Molecule: transfer RNA, 65 nt
Filed under: Aulacus sinensis
Lineage: Eukaryota; Metazoa; Arthropoda; Insecta; Hymenoptera; Aulacidae
Description: tRNA-Trp
Source: RNAcentral
AAAACUUUAAGUUAAUUAAACUAUUAAUUUUCAAUAUUAAAAAUAAAAAUUUUUUUUAAGUUUUA